UACGUAGGGUGCAAGCGUUACUCGGAAUUACUGGGCGUAAAGCGUGCGCAGGCGGUGAUGUAAGACAGCUGUGAAAUCCCCGGGCUCAACCUGGGAACUGCAUUUGUGACUGCAUCGCUGGAGUGCGGCAGAGGGGGAUGGAAUUCCGCGUGUAGCAGUGAAAUGCGUAGAUAUGCGGAGGAACACCGAUGGCGAAGGCAAUCCCCUGGGCCUGCACUGACGCUCAUGCACGAAAGCGUGGGGAGCAAACAGG
This 253-nucleotide ribosomal RNA is filed under the name uncultured bacterium. RNAcentral describes it as "partial 16S ribosomal RNA". It matches the Rfam family "Bacterial small subunit ribosomal RNA", at positions 524 to 776 of the family's 1533-position model. The record is from RNAcentral.